UAGUUGCUCUGCUGUGCCUACCCUCGAGG
RNAcentral lists this non-coding RNA (29 nucleotides) under Rattus norvegicus (Norway rat). The record is from RNAcentral. Lineage: Eukaryota; Metazoa; Chordata; Mammalia; Rodentia; Muridae.